RNAcentral lists this long non-coding RNA (1089 nucleotides) under Sus scrofa (pig). Its description in RNAcentral is "lncRNA (ENSSSCG00040046118.1)". The record is from RNAcentral. Lineage: Eukaryota; Metazoa; Chordata; Mammalia; Artiodactyla; Suidae.
GGCGGCGAGGCCGGGGGCUGUGGACCGGCCCGCCGGGGAGGGGCCAGGGAGAGGGGGGCGGCCCCUCGGUCAGCGCGGCCCGGAGGCCAGACCCGGUGCCCAGCUCCCCAGCGGGCGCCUGCCCUGGGCUGUAGUACGGGAGCCUCGGCAGUCUCGGGCGAGAGUUUCGGGAGAGGGUCCCGAGAUCCCGCCUUGCGGGGUUCGGAACCCGGCCCUGGCCCGCGACUCGGACCUACCCCGAGCAGGGCCCCGGUGAGGCCGCGGUGCCCCCGCUUUCAGAGCCCCGCCGCGCGCGGAACCGCAGGAGCAGGACGUCCACCGGCGGUUUGCGAGCGGCGGGCUCGGGAUUCUAGGCUUCUCCUAUUGUGACUAUUUGUAGUUUGUAAGUUUUUUUCUAGUGAACACUGUGGUGCUUUUUCAUUAAGAGCGGCGAUUUUUUCAAGGCGCCUGCAGAAGUUGAGCGGCCCGGCCCCGCAGUGUGAGCGGCCCCUUUCCAGACUGCAGGACUGCGCGUUCCUGGGCCCGGGACCCGGCUCCUCCUCCCUCGGCUCCCCGGCCGGCCCCGCCCCGCCCCCGCCCAUGCCCCGCCCUCCACUCCUGACCCCGCCCCUCCCCCGGCUGCGGCGAAAAUCCGGAGUGGCGGAUUGCCCUCUGCUCCGCGGGAGCCGGCUGUGGGCUCCUGCAGGAGCGGUGCCGGGGGUGCGGCUGACGCCGCUCCGCGCUCCCUCUUCUCACUCUGUCCUGGGCGAGCCACGCGGGGCAGCGCCGCGACCCCAGCCGCCGGCCCUGCCUCAGAAGCGGGUCAGGACCCGACUGAGCAUGCUCGCCCUCCAGCGCAGCGUGGCUCGACCAGGUGGACGCUGCCGGGACCCGGGGUCGGACCGCGCAGGGGAGGCGCAGGUGCGUGGUCCGGCCGCAGGUGCAGGGGACCUGGCUGGAAGGCGGGGGAGGGGCAUCUGGCCUGCAGGCUUGCCAGCCAGCCUGUCCCAGCUCUGCGUCUCUCCAGCUUCCUUCCUAAAUCACCACCACCACCUGCCCUAGGAGUGGAGCCCUUGGGUUGGAGCCAGCUGAUUGGAUGUGAGCUCUAAG